AGCAUAUCAAUAAGCGGAGGAAAAGAAACCAACAGGGAUUGCCCUAGUAACGGCGAGUGAAGCGGCAACAGCUCAAAUUUGAAAUCUGGCGUAAGCCCGAGUUGUAAUUUGUAGAGGAUGCUUCUGGGUAGCGGCCGGUCUAAGUUCCUUGGAACAGGACGUCAUAGAGGGUGAGAAUCCCGUAUGUGACUGGCUUGCACCCUCCACGUAGCUCCUUCGACGAGUCGAGUUGUUUGGGAAUGCAGCUCUAAAUGGGAGGUAAAUUUCUUCUAAAGCUAAAUACCGGCCAGAGACCGAUAGCGCACAAGUAGAGUGAUCGAAAGAUGAAAAGCACUUUGGAAAGAGAGUUAAAAAGCACGUGAAAUUGUUGAAAGGGAAGCGCCCGCAACCAGACUUUGCGGCGGUGUUCGGCCGGUCUUCUGACCGGUUUACUCGCCGCCGUGAGGCCAUCAUCGUCUGGGACCGCUGGAUAAGACCUGAGGAAUGUAGCUCCCUUCGGGGUGUGUUAUAGCCUCUGGUGAUGCAGCGCGUCUCGGGCGAGGUCCGCGCUUCGGCAAGGAUGAUGGCGUAAUGGUUGUCGGCGGCCCGUCUUGAAACACGGACCAAGGAGUCUAACAUCUAUGCGAGUGUUCGGGUGUCAAACCCCUACGCGUAAUGAAAGUGAACGGAGGUGGGAACUUUUUGUGCACCAUCGACCGAUCCUGAUGUCCUCGGAUGGAUUUGAGUAAGAGCAUAGCUGUUGGGACCCGAAAGAUGGUGAACUAUGCCUGAAUAGGGUGAAGCCAGAGGAAACUCUGGUGGAGGCUCGCAGCGGUUCUGACGUGCAAAUCGAUCGUCAAAUUUGGGUAUAGGGGCGAAAGACUAAUCGAACCAUCUAGUAGCUGGUUCCUGCCGA
Molecule: ribosomal RNA, 895 nt
Filed under: Pseudocercospora flavomarginata
Lineage: Eukaryota; Fungi; Ascomycota; Dothideomycetes; Mycosphaerellales; Mycosphaerellaceae
Description: LSU rRNA
Rfam family: Eukaryotic large subunit ribosomal RNA
Source: RNAcentral